GCGAGCAUCGCGACGGGGGGACCCCAAGUGCCACUCUUAACGGGGUGGCUUUUCAUAAGUGUAAAAAGCUUUUGGAAUAAGAGCUGGGCAAGACCGGUGCCAGCAGCCGCGGUAA
Molecule: ribosomal RNA, 115 nt
Filed under: uncultured Methanobacteriales archaeon
Lineage: Archaea; Methanobacteriati; Methanobacteriota; Methanobacteria; Methanobacteriales
Description: partial 16S ribosomal RNA
Rfam family: Archaeal small subunit ribosomal RNA
Source: RNAcentral